CUCUAAGGAGGACUGCCGGUGACAAACCGGAGGAAGGUGGGGAUGACGUCAAGUCAUCAUGGCCCUUACGGCCUGGGCUACACACAUGCUACAAUGGUCGGUACAAAGGGUUGCCAAGCCGCGAGGUGGAGCUAAUCCCAUAAACCGAUCGUAGUCCGGAUCGCAGUCUGCAACUCGACUGCGUGAAGUCGGAAUCGCUAGUAAUCGUGAAUCAGAAUGUCACGGUGAAUACGUUCCCGGGCCUU
Molecule: ribosomal RNA, 245 nt
Filed under: uncultured Pseudomonas sp.
Lineage: Bacteria; Pseudomonadati; Pseudomonadota; Gammaproteobacteria; Pseudomonadales; Pseudomonadaceae
Description: partial 16S ribosomal RNA
Rfam family: Bacterial small subunit ribosomal RNA
Source: RNAcentral